RNAcentral lists this long non-coding RNA (329 nucleotides) under Mytilus galloprovincialis (Mediterranean mussel). The record is from RNAcentral. Lineage: Eukaryota; Metazoa; Mollusca; Bivalvia; Mytilida; Mytilidae.
GUUCUAGUAUUAAGUUGUUGCAUUUUUGUUGUCAUUUUAGGAUGUUAGUUGUGACAUGCAUGACAGAACAAAUUCUUGUCCGAAUGGGUUUUGUUGCGUUAGAGACCAGUUUCUUCCCCAAUAUGUGUACUGCAAGAAGAUAGGUCAGCAAGGAUCUCAUUGUCGACAUGUUCCAGAUGAAUCUGUGUGUAACUGUGACAUUGGACUGACAUGUGUUCCAAACUUAGACGUUCCUACGUUUGUCUCUAUUUAUGGCACGUGUCAUAAUUUAACAACAAAAACAAGGCAAUAAAGAACAAAUAUCGGUUAAAUGCAGUCACGUUUGGAUC